Mesitornis unicolor (brown roatelo) is the source of this 64-nucleotide microRNA precursor. It matches the Rfam family "mir-155 microRNA precursor family". Lineage: Eukaryota; Metazoa; Chordata; Aves; Mesitornithiformes; Mesitornithidae. The record is from Rfam.
UUGUUAAUGCUAAUCGUGAUAGGGGUUUUACCUCUGACUGACUCCUACAUAUUAGCAUUAACAC